RNAcentral lists this ribosomal RNA (451 nucleotides) under uncultured organism. Its description in RNAcentral is "partial 16S ribosomal RNA". It matches the Rfam family "Bacterial small subunit ribosomal RNA", at positions 333 to 800 of the family's 1533-position model. The record is from RNAcentral.
ACACUCCUGCGGGAGGCAGCAGUGGGGAAUAUUGGACAAUGGGCGCAAGCCUGAUCCAGCCAUGCCGCGUGAGUGAUGAAGGCCCUCGGGUUGUAAAGCUCUUUCACCGGUGAAGAUAAUGACGGUAACCGGAGAAGAAGCCCCGGCUAACUUCGUGCCAGCAGCCGCGGUAAUACGAAGGGGGCUAGCGUUGUUCGGAUUUACUGGGCGUAAAGCGCACGUAGGCGGACUAUUAAGUCAGGGGUGAAAUCCCGGGGCUCAACCCCGGAACUGCCUUUGAUACUGGUAGUCUUGAGUUCGAGAGAGGUGAGUGGAAUUCCGAGUGUAGAGGUGAAAUUCGUAGAUAUUCGGAGGAACACCAGUGGCGAAGGCGGCUCACUGGCUCGAUACUGACGCUGAGGUGCGAAAGCGUGGGGAGCAAACAGGAUUAGAUACCCCAGUAGUCCCAUGA